RNAcentral lists this ribosomal RNA (429 nucleotides) under Fusobacteriota bacterium. RNAcentral describes it as "Fusobacteria bacterium partial 16S ribosomal RNA". It matches the Rfam family "Bacterial small subunit ribosomal RNA", at positions 355 to 776 of the family's 1533-position model. The record is from RNAcentral. Lineage: Bacteria; Fusobacteriati; Fusobacteriota.
UGGGGAAUCUUCCGCAAUGGACGAAAGUCUGACGGAGCAACGCCGCGUGAGUGAAGACGGCCUUCGGGUUGUAAAGCUCUGUGAUCCGGGACGAAAGAGCCUGAGGUAAAUAGCCUAAGGAAGUGACGGUACCGGAAAAGCAAGCCACGGCUAACUACGUGCCAGCAGCCGCGGUAAUACGUAGGUGGCAAGCGUUGUCCGGAAUUAUUGGGCGUAAAGCGCGCGCAGGCGGCUUACUAAGUCCAUCUUAAAAGUGCGGGGCUUAACCCCGUGAUGGGAUGGAAACUGGAAAGCUGGAGUAUCGGAGAGGAAAGUGGAAUUCCUAGUGUAGCGGUGAAAGGCGUAGAGAUUAGGAAGAACACCGGUGGCGAAGGCGACUUUCUGGACGAAAACUGACGCUGAGGCGCGAAAGCGUGGGGAGCAAACAGG